UCUGACCAGCUCUGGAAGUGAGGACGAAUAUGUCCCUGACAAGAGAGACACAACAGACUCAGAUAGUGAGCCACAACCAAAAACAACCAAAGAGAGAACACGGACUGGACCAAAAAGGAAUAAGAAAAGGGUCAUUAGAGCAAAAACCUCAACACACAAGACAUUGGACACUUCUGAACUUGACCAGCAAAAAUGUGAAAAUCUGACCAGCUCUGGAAGUGAGGACGAAUAUGUCCCUGACAAGAGAGACGUCACAGACACAGAUGAAAAAAUAAUUGAAGACAGUGAUGCCACAG
This is a long non-coding RNA of Periophthalmus magnuspinnatus, 296 nucleotides long. RefSeq lists it as uncharacterized. The record is from RefSeq and is a predicted model, not a curated record. The transcript is spliced from 3 exons. NCBI's taxonomy places the organism in Eukaryota, Metazoa, Chordata, Actinopteri, Gobiiformes, Gobiidae.